ACGAACGUUGGCGGCGUGCCUAAUACAUGCAAGUCGAGCGAGAAACGGGGGGCAACUCCCGGAGUAAAGCGGCGAAAGGGUGCGUAAUACAUGAAGAACGUACCCCUCGGACUGGGAUAACCCAGGGAAACUUGGGCUAAUACCGGGUGACGUCCGGGCGGGGCAUCCCGUCCGGACCAAAGAUGGCCGAAAGGUCGUCGCCGGGGGCGCGCUUCAUGGCCUAUCAGCUAGUUGGCGGGGUAACGGCCCACCAAGGCUGUGACGGGUAGCCGGGCUGAGAGGUCGACCGGCCACAUGGGCACUGAGACACGGGCCCAACACCUACGGGUGGCAGCAGUAGGGAAUCUUGCGCAAUGGGCGAAAGCCUGACGCAGCGACGCCGCGUGGAGGACGAAGGCCUUCGGGUUGUAAACUCC
Molecule: ribosomal RNA, 416 nt
Filed under: uncultured bacterium
Lineage: Bacteria
Description: bacterial SSU rRNA
Rfam family: Bacterial small subunit ribosomal RNA
Source: RNAcentral